Symphalangus syndactylus (siamang) is the source of this 651-nucleotide long non-coding RNA. RefSeq lists it as uncharacterized. NCBI's taxonomy places the organism in Eukaryota, Metazoa, Chordata, Mammalia, Primates, Hylobatidae. The record is from RefSeq and is a predicted model, not a curated record.
CUUAAGAUGGGGCCGGUUCCGGGUUCUUCUCCCCUCCUUGACCGGGCACUGUCUGAACCCGCCAAAGGAGGGCCAAUCAGAAAGAAGCAUCUCCUGCCUUCCCUUGGGCCCGCCCCUAGCCCAAUCCACGUAGGCCCAAGGGAUAUAAAACCCAGCACACCAGCAGCCCUCUCUCUCUUCUCUUCCUUCUCCUUGCAUGGUGCCGCUCGAUACCUCCAAUAAAGAUCUCUUGACCGCGACCGGCGUAGUUUGGUCUCCGCCCGGCCCCUUUCAAGCAGGGCAUGAGAAAAUGGGAAGAGAGAAUGGGCAAGGGGUCAUCGAUGGACCAGAGAUGGGAUGGUAAGGACAGAAACUGCAGAAGGAACUGCUCACCGGAAGCCAACAAGCUUGCCCUGUGGAAUCCCAGAAAGGCCCAGGAACUUCGGGACAUCAGUGAAGGCAGAGUGAGGAGAGAUGUAAUUCAAGUCCCUUGCCUGAGAUUGGAGACGAUGCUGCGGGUCUUGAAGAAACACGCUGCCAUGAGUCUACAGCUACAAAAAGAUGAAUUCUGCCAACAACUGCCUGAGACCACAGCCCUAGCCAGUAUCUGCAUUGCAGGUUUGUGAAACUCACUGAGGACCCACCUAAGUCAUGCCCAGACGUCUGCCCCAA